UUAAUUUUUGCUAAAAUCCAUAAACUUCAUUCAGUAAAUUAAAAUUUUUAUUGUAAGUAAUCAUGUCACAAACAGAACUUAUUCUGACAAAAACCAGUUAUAGUUACUCUUAAUGCAAUCGUAAUACUUUACACAGUAAAAUGUUUACCAAAAGGUGAAACACAGAUACACCAGAAAACUUUUUUAAAACAUUUGACAGGGGAAACUGUGCCAAGCCAACACCAAUCCAAUUCACAAAAGAACUUAUGCUUGUACCACUUGUACCCAGCUCUCAAAUUGCGUCAACCUUAUCUUAAGUGAUGUUGUUGCUUAAACCGUGCGACAUGUGAUUUGGAGAGAUAAAAUGAUGUCCAAGAAGCUGCUGUUCUGAGCAUUGGUUACCCUUCUCCGGAUAUAGACAUCUAUACAAAAUAUAUAACAUUAAAAGACAGUAGCUAUAAAUUCUUCGUGACUUUAAUGCUUGUUUUUCUUCAUGAACUUCAUUACUUCAAGUGUAAGCUUUGAGUGGAAGUUUUCAAGCCUUAAUAUAAUUGUAUUGUCAAAUACAUAUUCCGAGAAAGAUAA
Xenia sp. Carnegie-2017 is the source of this 564-nucleotide long non-coding RNA. RefSeq lists it as uncharacterized. The transcript has 2 exons. The record is from RefSeq and is a predicted model, not a curated record. NCBI's taxonomy places the organism in Eukaryota, Metazoa, Cnidaria, Anthozoa, Malacalcyonacea, Xeniidae.